GGAUUGGGAGGGUUCUACGGAACCCGUUUGGUGAAUCUAGUGCCGAGAAAAGCCUUCUAUGUGUUGAAUUUCUAGUACCCGUACCCCAAACCGACACAGGUGGGUGGGUAGAGCAUACCUAGGGGCGCGUGAUAACUCUCUCUAAGGAACUCGGCAAAAUGGCCCUGUAACUUCGGGAUAAGGGGUGCCUGCGUGAGCAGGCCGCAGUGAAAUGGCUCUGGCGACUGUUUACCAAAAACACAGGUCUCUGCUAAGUCGUAAGACGAUGUAUAGGGGCUGACUCCUGCCCAGUGCCGGAAGGUUAAGGAAGUUGGUUAGCGCAAGCGAAGCUGGCGACCGAAGCCCCGGUGAACGGCGGCCGUAACAAUAACGGUCCUAAGGUAGCGAAAUUCCUUGUCGGGUAAGUUCCGACCCGCACGAAAGGAGUAACGAUCAGAGCGCUGUCUCGGAGAGAGACACGGCGAAAUAGGAUUGUCCGUGAAGAUACGGACUACCUGCACCCGGACAGAAAGACCCUAUGAAGCUUUACUGUAACUUGGAAUUGUGUUCGGACUUUGUCUGCGCAGAAUAGGUGGGAGGCUAUGAAACGUUCCCCGCGGGGAACUGGAGCCAUCGUUGAGAUACCACUCUGGCAGAGUCUGGAUUCUAACCUACGGGGACAGUUCCAGGUGGGCAGUUUGACUGGGGCGGUCGCCUCCUAAAAUGUAACGGAGGCGCGCAAAGGUUCCCUCAGGCUGGUUGGAAAUCAGCCAUAGAGUGUAAAAGCAUAAGGGAGCUUGACUGUGAGACCUACAAGUCGAGCAGGGACGAAAGUCGGCUUUAGUGAUCCGACGGCACUGAGUGGAAGGGCCGUCGCUCAACGGAUAAAAGUUACUCUAGGAUAACAGGCUGAUCUCCCCCAAGAGUUCACAUCGACGGGGAGGUUUGGCACCUCGACGUCGGCUCGUCGCAACCUGGGGCGGUAGUACGUCCCAAGGGUCGGGCUGUUCGCCCAUUAAAGCGGCACGUGAGCUGGGUUCAGAACGUCGUGAGACAGUUCGGUCCAUAUCCGGUGUAGGCGUAGGAGCAUUGAAAGGAUCUCUCCUUAGUACGAGAGGACCGGGAGGGACGUACCUCUGGUGUACCUGUUAUCGUGCCAACGGUAAACGCAGGGUAGCCAUGUACGGAGUGGAUAACCGCUGAAAGCAUCUAAGUGGGAAGCCCACCCUAAGAUGAGUGCUCCCUUGAGGCCACGGGAAGACGACCCGCUUGAUAGGCGCUAGGUGGAAGUGCAGUAAUGCAUGCAGCCGAGGCGUACUAAUAGGCCGAUGGCUUGUC
RNAcentral lists this ribosomal RNA (1317 nucleotides) under metagenome. Its description in RNAcentral is "bacterial LSU rRNA". It matches the Rfam family "Bacterial large subunit ribosomal RNA", at positions 1563 to 2925 of the family's 2925-position model. The record is from RNAcentral.